Molecule: unclassified non-coding RNA, 279 nt
Filed under: plant metagenome
Description: partial contains small subunit ribosomal RNA, internal transcribed spacer 1, and 5.8S ribosomal RNA
Rfam family: 5.8S ribosomal RNA (bases 225-279)
Source: RNAcentral
UUUCCGUAGGUGAACCUGCGGAAGGAUCAUUACUGAGUUUUGAAUGAAGUUGUUCUGGUCUUUCGGGGCAAGGGAACGCUUCUCUCAAUCCAUCUUACACCUGUGCACCUAUCGGGGAAGACUUGGAUCUAAGUUGGGUCACGACGGCGAUCUACAGUCUCCUCAUUAUACCAAAUAACAUCUUUAGUAUGUCUUUUUUGCUUGAUGCAAACUUAAAUAAAUACAACUUACAGCAACGUAUCUCUUGGCUCUCGCCUCGAUGAAGAACGCAGCAGAUCG